RNAcentral lists this ribosomal RNA (253 nucleotides) under uncultured bacterium. RNAcentral describes it as "partial 16S ribosomal RNA". It matches the Rfam family "Bacterial small subunit ribosomal RNA", at positions 524 to 776 of the family's 1533-position model. The record is from RNAcentral.
UACGGGGGGUGCGAGCGUUGUCCGGAAUCACUGGGCGUAAAGGGCGCGUAGGCGGCCUGCUAAGUCGAACGUGAAAUCCCCGAGCUCAACUCGGGAACUGCGUCCGAUACUGACAGGCUUGAAUCCGGGAGAGGGAUGCGGAAUUCCAGGUGUAGCGGUGAAAUGCGUAGAUAUCUGGAGGAACACCGGUGGCGAAGGCGGCAUCCUGGACCGGCAUUGACGCUGAGGCGCGAAAGCUAGGGGAGCAAACGGG